This 108-nucleotide non-coding RNA is filed under the name Neobacillus bataviensis. Its description in RNAcentral is "Bacillus bataviensis TPP sequence". It matches the Rfam family "TPP riboswitch aptamer (THI element)". From Rfam's summary of the family: Vitamin B(1) in its active form thiamin pyrophosphate (TPP) is an essential coenzyme that is synthesised by coupling of pyrimidine and thiazole moieties in bacteria. The record is from RNAcentral. Lineage: Bacteria; Bacillati; Bacillota; Bacilli; Caryophanales; Bacillaceae. RNAcentral also lists the same sequence under 1 other name.
UACUUCCACAGGGGGGGCUGCCUAAAGGCGGCUGAGAGUGAACGUAAGAGUUCUGACCCUAUGAACCUGUUAGUUAACACUAGCGUAGGGAUGUGGUUUGCCGGAUAU